ACUGGAAGAUUAUGGCGGUGCAGGCAUUUCAUUAUUGAUUUGUAUGCUAUUAAUUAUCUUUGCAGUUGUUGUUUCUGAAUAACAUUAAACUGAGCCUGACCUACAAGCAAAACAAAGUCAUUUGACAGUGUCCUGGCCUGAAGAGCUUUUUAAUUGUAACCUUGAAGUGUGGUUUGGGGGGCAGGAGCUUGGGACUCCCUGUUUAAAACCUAAAUCAUGCCCCAGGGCCACUGUCUAUGGCCUGAUUCUGCUGUUUCUCACUCUGGAUCUCUUGCAGUCCUCUUUGGCACCAACAGGUCAAUUCUAUUUUGCUACCCUGCUCGCUUUUGGCUGCCAUAGCAGCCAAAGAUUUUUGACUACCUCUCUGAUGUCCUCUGUUGGAUCCAGCUCAACCACCAUCACGUCACCUUCCUCCUGCUUCUCAUCCCCCCCUCAGAGGAGAAAACAGUCAGCUCAGCGCACUCCCUUGACUUUCUCAGAAUUGUCCUGGACCUUCUCCUCUUUGAGGCCUGCCCUCCAGCCCCUGUUAAGGGACCGGAUGCAGUCCAGCUCAUCUCGUUUUCAGGUCAGCCGGACAAUCUCUAAAUAGUCACUUCGACUCCGGAUCACCACUUUCUCACUCUCACCUCUACUGUAAGAAACUUAACUUUUACAUCAACAUCUCUGCUGAAGCCCACAAGCACAUUAUGAUGUGGACCCCUUCAGCAGCACUGAAAUGGCCUAUCCAUCUUCUAUGAUGACUUAAUUUCUGCCCCCUCCAUAUUGAUGCCUCCUCCAUCUGCUUCCGUGGAGUCUUCUACAACCAAUGGUUCUCCAGUCCCUGGCACCCUGAAAUUCAAGCUCUUCCACCACAGCUCACAUCUACUGCUUUCCUUGAGCUCUACCCCUUUAUGGUCGCAGCUUACCUGUGGUCCCCUUCUUGGUGGCCAUUGACAUUGAACCAGAGUCUCAACCCCCAUACACUACAGGAUAUUCUGCAAGCAAAGCGACUCUCCCAGAGUUUUUCUGCAUUUCUAACUGUCAGCUUGCAAUGCACAGUGCUCAAUUGGUGCACGGAGAUAUCCGACCAGAAACACUACUGCUGGGAGACUGUUUCUUUAUCGAGGAGGGCUGUGCACUGAAGACAGUCGACUUCUUUCAUAGUCUGGAUCUGGAUUUGCAGCCUGGAGUGCAGUCGGUCAGUGGGUUCUGUACAGCUCAGGCAUUCAUGGGACAGGAGAUAUUGUCAGAGUAUACCAAUCCUUAUCAGGUUGAUCUUUUGGGUAUUGCCGAUAUCGUAUUUUGAAGAGGAUUCGGAAUGGAAACUUGUGAAAGAGCUGGAGUCAAGCUGUGAGGAGGAGAAACUAUUGCUAGAGGACCAGGAC
Long non-coding RNA from Polyodon spathula (Mississippi paddlefish), 1364 nucleotides. RefSeq lists it as uncharacterized. The record is from RefSeq and is a predicted model, not a curated record. Lineage: Eukaryota; Metazoa; Chordata; Actinopteri; Acipenseriformes; Polyodontidae. The transcript is spliced from 4 exons.